UACGGAGGAUGCAAGCGUUAUCCGGAAUGAUUGGGCGUAAAGCGUCCGCAGGUGGUGUUGUAAGUCUGUUGUUAAAGCGUGCGGCUUAACCGCAUAAGGGCGAUGGAAACUACAAGACUAUAGUGCGUUAGGGGUAGAGGGAAUUCCUGGUGUAGCGGUGAAAUGCGUAGAGAUCAGGAAGAACACCAGUGGCGAAAGCGCUCUACUAUGCCGCAACUGACACUGAGGGACGAAAGCUAGGGGAGCGAAUGGG
This 253-nucleotide ribosomal RNA is filed under the name uncultured bacterium. RNAcentral describes it as "partial 16S ribosomal RNA". It matches the Rfam family "Bacterial small subunit ribosomal RNA", at positions 524 to 776 of the family's 1533-position model. The record is from RNAcentral.